UGGGGAAUAUUGGACAAUGGGCGCAAGCCUGAUCCAGCCAUGCCGCGUGAGUGAUGGAGGCCUUAGGGUUGUAAAGCUCUUUUACCAGGGAUGAUAAUGACAGUACCUGGAGAAUAAGCUCCGGCUAACUCCGUGCCAGCAGCCGCGGUAAUACGGAGGGAGCUAGCGUUGUUCGGAAUCACUGGGCGUAAAGCGCACGUAGGCGGCCAACUAAGUCAGAGGUGAAAGCCCGGAGCUCAACUCCGGAACUGCCUUUGAAACUAGAUGGCUAGAAGAUGGGAGAGGUGAGUGGAAUUCCGAGUGUAGAGGUGAAAUUCGUAGAUAUUCGGAAGAACACCAGUGGCGAAGGCGACUCACUGGACCAUAUUUGACGCUGAGGUGCGAAAGCGUGGGGAGCAAGCAGGAUUAGAUACCCCCGUAGUCC
This 424-nucleotide ribosomal RNA is filed under the name uncultured prokaryote. RNAcentral's name for it is "bacterial SSU rRNA". It matches the Rfam family "Bacterial small subunit ribosomal RNA", at positions 355 to 796 of the family's 1533-position model. The record is from RNAcentral.